UACGGGAGGCAGCAGUGGGGAAUAUUGCACAAUGGGCGAAAGCCUGAUGCAGCGACGCCGCGUGAGGGACGAAGGCCUUCGGGUUGUAAACCUCUUUCAGUAGGGAAGAAGCGAAAGUGACGGUACCUGCAGAAGAAGCGCCGGCUAACUACGUGCCAGCAGCCGCGGUAAU
Molecule: ribosomal RNA, 172 nt
Filed under: uncultured rumen bacterium
Lineage: Bacteria
Description: partial 16S ribosomal RNA
Rfam family: Bacterial small subunit ribosomal RNA
Source: RNAcentral